GAGUAGUGAAAUGCGUUGAUACCCUCGGGAACACCAAGUGGCGUAGNCGGAUCUCUGGGAGAAGAUGGACACUGAGACACGAAAGCUAGGGGAACGAAGCAGAUUAGAGACCUGCGUAGUCCUAGCCGUAAACGCAUGCUUGCUAGCUGCAUGAAUCUACCUUCGGGUGGUAUCGUGUGGCGAAGGUAACCCGUUAAGCAAGCCGCCUGGAAAGUACGGCCGCAAGGCUGAAAUUCAAAGGAAUUGGCGGGGAGGCACACAACCAGUGGAACAUGUGGUUUAAUUCGAGACUAACCGAAGAACCUCACCAGGGUUUGACAUGUAGCUGCACGUCUUAAGAAAUUAAGACUCUCUUGAAGGUGCUACACAGGUGCUGCAUGGCUGUCGUCAGCUCGUUCCGUGAGGAGUGCCCUUAAGUGGGACAACGAGCGCAACCCCUAUUACAUGUUAGAAAUGUCAUGUAAGACUGCCUUGCCAUUUGGCGGGGAGGAAGGAGGGGCAGACGUCAAGUCCGCAUGGUCCUUAUGCCCUGGGCUACACACAUGUUACAAUGAGUACGGCAAUGAGUCUGUCGCGAGCACGUAAGUGUAAGCUAAUCUCUUAAAUGUACUCUCAGUGGGGAUUGAGGUCUGCAACUCGACCUCAUGAACACGGAAUUGGUAGUAAUCGCGGGUCAGCUAUACCGCGGUGAGUACGUUCUUGCCUCUUGCACACACCGCCCGUCAAACCAGCAAAGUCGAUUGUAUCCGAACCU
Molecule: ribosomal RNA, 754 nt
Filed under: uncultured organism
Description: bacterial SSU rRNA
Rfam family: Bacterial small subunit ribosomal RNA
Source: RNAcentral